RNAcentral lists this small nuclear RNA (124 nucleotides) under Suricata suricatta (meerkat). RNAcentral's name for it is "U4 spliceosomal RNA (ENSSSUG00005011193.1)". It matches the Rfam family "U4 spliceosomal RNA". From Rfam's summary of the family: U4 small nuclear RNA (U4 snRNA) is a component of the major U2-dependent spliceosome. The structure of U4 snRNA from yeast and human has been reported. The record is from Rfam by way of RNAcentral. Lineage: Eukaryota; Metazoa; Chordata; Mammalia; Carnivora; Herpestidae.
AGCUUUGCGCAGUGGCAGUAUCGUAGCCAAUGAGGUUUAUCCGAGGUGCGAUUAUUGCUAAUUGGAAAGAGUGUAUCAGAAAAAGCCUAGUAGUAAAAGACAUUUGUGUUCCUCAUGUUUCUGA